ACCGAAUAGAUACCCGGGUAGUCCACGCCGUAAACGAUGGAUGCUGGCUGUGAGAGGUAUCGACCCCUCUCGUAGCGAAAGCUAACGCGUUAAGCAUCCCGCCUGUGGAGUACGGUCGCAAGACUAAAACAUAAAGGAAUUGACGGGGACCCGCACAAGCGGUGGAGCGUGUUGUUUAAUUCGAUGGUAAACGAAGAACCUUACCCAGGUUUGACAUCCUUGGAAAGUUCUCCGAAAGGAAAAUGUGCUUUAUUGAACCAAGUGACAGGUGUUGCAUGGCCGUCGUCAGCUCGUGUCGUGAGAUGUUUGGUUAAGUCCACUCAA
RNAcentral lists this ribosomal RNA (324 nucleotides) under uncultured bacterium. RNAcentral's name for it is "bacterial SSU rRNA". It matches the Rfam family "Bacterial small subunit ribosomal RNA", at positions 772 to 1092 of the family's 1533-position model. The record is from RNAcentral.